Long non-coding RNA from Pan troglodytes (chimpanzee), 1848 nucleotides. RefSeq lists it as uncharacterized. The record is from RefSeq and is a predicted model, not a curated record. Lineage: Eukaryota; Metazoa; Chordata; Mammalia; Primates; Hominidae. The transcript is spliced from 7 exons.
AGUCUAGUCUUGAAACCAGGCUGCUAGAAUCCAGGUUCUAACAAUAUUUUCCUAGCCUCUUCUCUUUUCCUGAGUUCCAGCUUACUGACACUUGAUCCCAGUGGCCUUCUAAGACCUGCUGGCAGAAAAGGAGAAAUGCUGUACGAGGUUUAUGAAUAGGUCAGUUUGGUAUACAAACUGAAGCCCUAAGUGGACUGCUACUACUAUUGCAGGAACACAGCACACAAGAAAAGGUGUCUGUCUUUCCUGUGUAAUGGACAGGUUUUGAAUCGUGGGCCCAGAAGGAUUGUCUGAAUUAUAAGGAAUGUCCAUUUGUGCUUUAGCAACUUGAAGCUUCAGUGGAAAGAAUCAGAACAUAGAGAAAACUUGCUGCUAGGACAAAAAUGAAGGAAAGAAUCAUCCCAGGAUGGUGAUACCGGGGUUACAGGCUCACAGGCAGAAGGGACUUGGCCUUUCUCAGAGACAGAGUCUUGCUGUGUUGCCCAGGUUGUUCUCAAACACCUUUGGUCAAGCAAUCUUCCCGCCUCAGCCUCCUGAAGUACUGGGAUUACAAGUGCAAGCCACUAUGGUUGGCCCUUUCCAGCUUUAUUGAGCUAAGCUUUCUGGCCCCCAGAUCUGCACCUGACCUUUACCACCUCCUCAUCAUCCACUCUGGUCUGCACCCUCUUGACCGCGUCUGAGUCUCCUUUGGGGCUGGAUGUCUGCUUCAGCAUUAGGAAAUGGACACAUCUACAGAAUCUCUCAUGGCAACACACCAAGUAAUUUUCUGGGCAAUUUUAUACUUUUAUAAGAAUGAAAGAUGUUUUGAUUCCAAAACAUUCUGUCCUGUUCUCUAAUCAUUUUAGUCUUUUAAAGCAUAUUGUCUUGGAAUGGUUAAGAUGUUUUGCUCAUCAAUUUCUUUGUAGUCCAACAAUUUAUAACAAUAUUUCUAAAUUUCCAGAAAAAUGCUAUUGCGUUCUUUCUUUUCUGCAGUUCCUCACCAUUGUCACAGAGCCUGUGUUAGGGAAUUUAGUCAGAGAUUGUCACACAGGAUUUACUUUAGAAUCACCUGGGAAACUUUCAAAAAUUCCAGAGGCCUAGUAUCACUCCCAGAAAUAUGAUGUAAUUGGUCAGCACAGACUUAGACAUCAAUAAUUUUUAAAGAUCCCAGGUGAUUCUACCAUGCAGACAGAGAUGAGAAACACUGAAUUAGAUCAUUUCCAGAAGCCACAGAAUAAAAUGUAAACUCUUCUUCCAUUCUUUAGGUAUUGUAAACUUUGUCCUUUCAACAAGUUAUAUUACUAAAAAUCGACAAACUGAACUCACAUGAACGUGUACUUACAGAGUUGUGGCUCCUAAUUCUAUUUAAGGUAUGUUAAAGUAAAAGCAGUUAGAAUAUGGAAUAUUUUUUUCCCUUGAUUAUGCUAAAGAAAUAUUGGUGAGGAAUGUUGUGGCUCAUUUUUUGUUCUUUCUACAUUUUAUUUUGUAAAAAUUUAAAUAUUUAAUCAUGUUCUUCAGUCCUUUACCCAUUUUAAGUCUUUUAGUAAGGUUUUAUAACUUUAAACAUACAGAUACUGCAUAUUAUGUAUUAGGUUUAUUUUAACAUUUAACAGAGAUUUGUGACUAUUAUGAGUAUGUAAUAAAUUAUUACAAAUUCUAAUCAGUUACGCUGAUGUGGAAUAUUUUCAAGUGUUGAUCUUGUACCCAGUUAUCUUAUCCAAUAAUCUAUACUUUCAGUGAGCUCUAAUUUAUUUCUUGUAAGAUAAUAUUAUAAAAUGACAAAUUUGUAACCCUUCCAAGUCACUGAUUUCCGAUAUUUAUAUCUCCUUUUAUUUUUAAUUUUUCUUGUUCUUCAUAACUGUUUAAGAC